Non-coding RNA from Myotis davidii, 46 nucleotides. NCBI's taxonomy places the organism in Eukaryota, Metazoa, Chordata, Mammalia, Chiroptera, Vespertilionidae. The record is from Rfam.
AUUCAGGUUUUUUUUAAAACCACACCCAUAUGUCCAUAGUAUCUAU